GAUGAAGAACGCAGCGAAAUGCGAUAAUUAAUGUGAAUUGCAGAAUUCAGUGAAUCAUCGAGUCUUUGAACGCACAUUGCGCCCCCUGGUAUUCCGGGGGGCAUGCCUGUCCGAGCGUCAUUGCUGCCCUCAAGCACGGCUUGUGUGUUGGGCUUCCGUCCCUGGCAACGGGGACGGGCCCAAAAGGCAGUGGCGGCACCAUGUCUGGUCCUCGAGCGUAUGGGGCUUUGUCACCCGCUCUUGUAGGCCCGGCCGGCGCUUGCCGACACAUCAAUCUUUUUUCCAGGUUGACCUCGGAUCAGGUAGGGAUACCCGCUGAACUUAAGCAUAUCAAUAAGCGGAGGA
RNAcentral lists this unclassified non-coding RNA (345 nucleotides) under soil metagenome. Its description in RNAcentral is "partial contains 5.8S ribosomal RNA, internal transcribed spacer 2, and large subunit ribosomal RNA". The stretch from base 1 to 120 matches the Rfam family "5.8S ribosomal RNA", at positions 35 to 154 of the family's 154-position model. The record is from RNAcentral.